UAUUAAAAAUUUCAUCUAUGUCUACUAUUAAAAAUUGGCGCGGCUAAUGGAAUAACCAAACAGUUACACACGUGCACCUCAUUUUUGCGUACAAAGACCAAUUUUUAAUUGUAGAAAUGGAUAGAAUUUUUCAUA
Molecule: non-coding RNA, 135 nt
Organism: Gossypium raimondii (Peruvian cotton)
Lineage: Eukaryota; Viridiplantae; Streptophyta; Magnoliopsida; Malvales; Malvaceae
Source: Rfam